Molecule: long non-coding RNA, 318 nt
Filed under: Brassica napus (rape)
Lineage: Eukaryota; Viridiplantae; Streptophyta; Magnoliopsida; Brassicales; Brassicaceae
Description: long non-coding RNA (BNAP_LNC014778)
Source: RNAcentral
UCGCCAUUCUCAGAACCGUCGGCCACAGUUUCAGAAACCUCGGAAGAAUUUUCCGAGCCAAGGGUCGUUUCCACCUCUUGUUGCAAUUCAGGCAACGGCUCCUCCAACUUCUUGACCAUGACUUUGUCUUCCUCAUUCGUCACUGUCAUUUCAUUUCCAUCAGCUGAUGAUGGAUUGAUCGGUAACAUAGCCUCAGGCGCUUCAAUUUUCUCUGGAAUGGUUGUCGAGUCCGCUUCACACACGCCUGUUUCAGACGCUGGCUCAGGAUCCGUCGCUAAGGUUUCAGACAACCCAGUUACUUCUUCUGCUUCAGCCACC